CUUUGGACACCAUGGUGAAAAUAUUGCACACAUCUGAGAGAAAAGAAGUCUGAACUGUAGAGAUGCUGACUUGUACAGCAGCAGUUGAGCAAAUAGCAUCAUGAUAUACUGAAGUCCAAGAGCUACUCAAAUUCAUCAUGAAAUAAGGUGGAGCACUUCAUGGGACUGGUAUUCAAGAGAACUUUAAGAAACACUUGGCUAAACUGAAUCACAAGGCUGUGCUGAAAAGAGGAUUAUAAGAGUAAAUACCCCUCUAAAAAAAUCAAACAAUAGCUAAUAGAAGGAAUGGAAGGGUUGGAAUAAAACCAUUCUAAUGUUA
Molecule: non-coding RNA, 319 nt
Organism: Macaca mulatta (Rhesus monkey)
Lineage: Eukaryota; Metazoa; Chordata; Mammalia; Primates; Cercopithecidae
Source: RefSeq, a predicted model, not a curated record